CCCUCCAUCUUCGAUGAUACUUUUUGAUCAAGAUAUGUAAAUGGAUAUCCGAUAAGAGAGAAAUGUAUAUAUUUAAGUAUAAUUUAUCGGCGAUGCUGAGAUCAAUUUGUAACCGACAGCUUUAUUGGAGGUAUAUUCGGAGUGUGUGUACGAAGGUUCGGUUCGUCGAUUCUGGGACGUAACUUUCCAUAUGGAAUAACAUCGACUCCACCUCUUGUGUCGCGGGUAUACCGGCCGGCGCAUUGGAAGUUGAGAAGUAGCCAGGUAAAAUUAUGGGAGACAGGCAUCACCGGCAACGUUAAUACAAUGUAUGGUGUACAACAAUUUUAAGCCCUGGGCAGACAGGUUACGUUAAAUUUGAUACUGAAGGGGGAAGACCAGGUUUGCGGUUGGCUGGUCGGUGGUUGCCGGUUUUACGAUCCCUUGGCGAUGCAUCGCCGAACGAGCAAUCAACAUCUUUGAAUUCCCUUCUGCUGCUAGUCAGUUUAAGUUUAUCGCAAAUGACAGAGUGGCGUAUACAGUUCGAGUAUGGGAGUCGAGUGGAGUGGCGUUGCACGGAUUGGAUUGUAGCGGCGACGGAGUGGAGUCGAGUUUAGUCGAGUGGAGUUGGGAAGAGCGUGGAGUGGAGUUGAGCGGCGCACCUACCUCGAAGCGAUAUUUCAAUUGGACGCAUAUAAUAUUCAUUUGUUAUUUACUUUGACAGGCAGUCGCUGGGACCACUCCGUAAAUCAAACGGCGAUUAAUUAGAAAUCGAGUCUACCCCCACCUUACCCCGAACUUCGCGAGGGUCUACAGAAGUCUAGCCACCGAUUCCUGCAGUCGCCGCGUCGGUUGCUACACCGACACACACCGGGGCGGACUUGCAUCGAGCGGCGACCGAACCGGAGGGAGGAUUUAUCGACCGUCUCUCACCUGGAGCAGACUAAUCACCUUCGGUCGAUUCUAAUAAUCCGAGAAUUUACAAUGUCGGCUACCGGGUUAACCGGAAACACGGGGUCACUCGAUAUUCGCCGAUUACAAGCUCGGAGCGCUCGAAGUUUCGCUAUUGAAUUUUUCAUCGGACGAAAAUUGGAGCAUUUCUUUUUAUUUGUUGUUCCAUUCUCCAGUCUCGAUGAAAAUUCGCAAAAUCAUCUCGGCGAUCGGAAGGCAUUGAGAUAGUGAAAAGUAAAUAGGAAACGAAAGUGACGAGGGUUAUAGAUUUUUCUUCCCCGGAGAAAAAAGCAAAGUUAUUUAUUACUUUUACCUAGACCUUUACAUCUCGCGGAUGCAUGUGUGUACGGUUUCUCAUCACUGGAAGAAUUAGAAAAUCACACGCACCGCCAUUUUGUCUGUCCUUAUUUACCCUCGUAGCGAAUGACAGAUGUAUUCAAGUUCUAUGCAAAGUUAAAUUUAAUUUUUCAUCCGGGGAAAUAGCUUACGGGCCAGUAGCCAGAGUCAGUCACCUUUGAACGUUCGUCGUCUUGCAGCACGUUCUGCACAGGUGACCUAAUUCCCAAGACAAUAACGUCUGGCCGGUUCUAAGAAAGAUGCGAAAAAAAAAGAGAAAAAGAAAAAAUUUCAAAACAAGAGAAAUAAAACGACGAAUAAACUAAAAACGAACAAAAUGAAAAAAAAAAAAAAAAAAAAACAGACGGAGGAAAGGGAACGAAAAAAGAAGGGGUUCCCUCGUUGGGUUGCCUCGUAUUACAUAAUAUCGACGCGGCCUUGCAUUCCGUUGUCUUGCCGCGAUUCGCUCCGGGCGAUGGUCAGCUAAAGGCGUUCGUGUCCCUCCGGUUAAGAAACUGCGGGUUCACUUCCGCCAUAGGUACCCCGUGCAAAUAUUGCGUAGCGUACCUAUUCGAAUGAGAUUCGAAAAUGGGGGCGGAGGGGAUGCGGAAAAAGAAGAAAAUGUUACGUAAGAAAAAGUGUCCGAUCACUUUUACUUUGAAUUUUCGAAGGUACAGGGCUGACAGCACUGGUUUCUCCAUCUAUAUAAUAUCAUUUUUCUCUUUUAUUGCAAGAUGUCCGUCGGGUGGUGAAAAUUGAAUUUUUUAAACGCGUGUAAAGGUGCAGCCGUUAAAAGUGGGAAUGGUUCGUAAAUCGUCACUCGGUUAGCUACCAGUCGAUACGUAGAUACGCAUAGGGUGGCGUGUGAGUGGAGUAAAAACGAUCGGCAUUGGUAAAUGAGACAGGAGGAGAAACAAAAUAAUAAAGAUCGAGACAAAAAGUCAAAGAAAACUAUCAAUGGAAAGGGUAGGAGGAGAAAAAGCGAGAUGCAGAGAGGAAGAAAUAGGGUUGACGUUUACGAGCUAAUAAUAUGCCCUAGCAACCCCAUACCCUUUACGCUCUAUUUAAUCAUUCACUCUUCGCAACGGGAAAUACUCGUACACGUAAUACGCGAUCAUCACCUCCGAUCACCUUCAUAAUUCUCUCCCGUGAACGUACAUAUACAUAUAUUCCCGUAUAAAAUGAGGGGAAAAUAUAUUCAAGGUAUGUGGACACGCGUUACUAUGAGAAUGAGGAAACUGAUUUUAACAUUGCUUCGACAUACUGAGAUUCUUGUACACCUACUUUUUCCCCUCCCUUUUUCUUCGUACGUGUAUCCGCUUGUACUUUUGCAGCAAUGGAUACUGUUCGGAUGUAAUAGGGUUGUAAAACGUGUCGAGGUUAUUUUAACGAUGAACUCGAGAUAGGUAUACGGGAAAUCGUUGUAAAUCGUAAAAUGGACUUUUUCCCGUAAAAUGGUAAAAUGUUAAGCUGUUGAAACGGCCGCGAAGCUAGCGAGAAAUCCAUAAAACUAGACACUUUCUAUCUGACAUGCAGAAGCACUGAGUUGCUAUCGCCGCAUAUAUUUCACGUUUAUUUGUACAACAGGUAUCUUUUGAUAAAACGCCAAAUUACCCUUAUUCUACUGCAUCGAUUAUACGUUUCACGGUAAUCUGUAAACAUGAAUUUUCUUAAGACCGUCCUAGCAUUUCCUUCGUUUAUUAAUACGAAAGAUCUCUUCGCGAAGUUCAGUUUUGGAUUGGCCAUGGAAACAAAUAUGCUAAGAUAAUAGCAAAACUACACAAGGUACAUGGAAACAGGGUGAGCAGCGUCUAUAAAAAAAAAGUGCAAUAUACGAAAUAUAAAGAAAUAAAUGAAUAAAAAUCAAAGGGGUGUGAGAAACGUGGUGUACCGCAGCUCAAGAACGAAAAGGAAUAGCUGACGGCGAAGCGGUAGCUGUAGCCAGGCACCACUCAAAUUGAUCAGAUUUCCGCGGUUUAUUUGUUGCCGCUACCAGAGUCUUAUAUACGGUAUGGGAAGCUGUACGAAGUAGAUAUAGAGACUGUUGCAAGUGCAGCAUCUGGAAAGGUAUACCGAACAGCAGCAGCGGCAUCGGCAACAACUGGUUUAACGCGGUUUUGCAAUUUAUUUAUUCUAUGGUUUACAAUCACGCGGCGCUUCAUUUUACAACUUACACUGUAGACACUGUGUUGCUUUACGGCGAUACUGCAGCGGGUAUACAUCUCGGCGAGAUCCCGCAAGAUCUGUUGCAGUUUUCAACUCCACUUUCUAGCGAGUCCCAAUGGGAUUCGACUCGUCACUAUAUGCAGAUGUACGGAUACUUAUAUCACAACCCUUCGAUUUACGAUAUCCAACGAUAACGUUUUACGUCCACGAAUUUCCCGUCGGUGUGUAACACCUUUUAUUUAUUUAUUUGUCUUUAUCGUGCGAGAAAUCUUACUCAGUUGCAACACUAAAAGAUGCGACGCAGAGUAUUAGAGUUAAUUUUACGAGUGCGACGGCCGACGACGACGAGGAUGAGGAUACGACAUAUACCUCAUACCGUUGAAGUGUAUGAUGCACAGCCUGAGGCUGUAUAGAUAUGCAGUUUACUACGUGCCUAGAUACAUAUUUACGCGUCACCUCGCCGCAAGUACGUCGGCACGCAAUUUCCCCCUUCGAUAGCUACAUUCAUACAGGGCAUAUAAGUAUCGCCCAUCGUUGCUGUUACUACACAUAUUCGAUGGGAGUAGAGGUGGAUGCACUACGAGCAGAUUUUCAGAAUAUAUACGUUGCUAGACAAUCAGCUUCAUACUUUAUUGCAUUCGUCACCUCGGACCUCGCAGGCUAGUCCGCGCUUUGUAUAUUUAUUAAUUUUUUUCAAUUGCUUUAAUUAAUCUGAAACGACUAGAGCAGCGUGGUUUGCGAAGCGCAAAACUUAUUCUUGAAUUGCAUGGAGCCUCGAGGGAUCGACGUACGAGAUAAGUUAAUUAAUUAUUUAAUCACGUCGCUUCAUCGACGAGAGUUUGUUAGCUGGGAAACGCGUUGAUCAAUGUUAAGUUUAUCUCACACGUUAUAGGCGUAACGAGUUUGAAACGCUGCUUACAAUGAAAACGCGUUUGAAUAUUGCAGCGAGCUAACGUAGGUAUAGUUGCAGUUGAUAGAAGAGCUGAGACUGGCAGCGGACAGGAAUCUCGCAUUUCUCUACCCCAAGAGAACGUGUCUCUGUAACGAUUCCCAAUUCCUUGAAGAAGGGAAAAUGCGGCGGAAUCCUAGGAAAUCGGGUAUGCGGAUAGUCCGCGUGACCGAAGUGAACCGAAAAAAAGAAAGAAACUUGUAAUACGGGACAGGACGGGGAUAAAGCGAGCUCCGGAGGUGGUACUCGAUAUGAAAAAGUGGACAAAUUACUCCGGGACCCGGGGGACUCUCCAAGUUCCGACCCCGAGGGAGACACUUAAAUCAUUAUUCUGAGCUACCACGGUGCAUCCUGAUGGCAGGCAUAGACGAUCCGUGAUUAUGGGGCUCUGCUCGCUACUAAGCGACGAACCCGGAUUCGCUGCGCUAACUAGCCACCUGGUAAUGUUACGGACUGACUGAGCGGAUGAUUACUCUCCUGUGGUUUUUGUUAGCUAUUAUUUGAAUUUUUUCCUACAUUGGUUUUUGAUUUUUACCCUCAUGGCCCACGUGUAUAUUCACGUGGAUAGAGUUUUGCGAAAUGGAUUCUCGUGGACCUAAUUUUUACUUGAUUGUAAUUAUGAUCGAAAUGGAUGGACUUCUUUUCCGCCUUGUUACGCGCGCAAAUUCACUCGUAUUCGAUUAUGCUUACAAUUUCAGGUCACACAUUAGCGAGCUAUUGUGAUAACGCCAAGUAAUUGAAAUUCGCCAAUGUCAUACCUAACAAUAAGACGGAAAUAAGAACGAUGUAAGCACGCGGUUUCAAUGAUCACUGCAGCAGAGAAACAGUACGGCAAUCAUACAGCAAAACAUGAUAAACGAUCGCUCAAAAUUGUAAAAAAAAAAAAAAC
This is a long non-coding RNA of Athalia rosae (coleseed sawfly), 5270 nucleotides long. RefSeq lists it as uncharacterized. The record is from RefSeq and is a predicted model, not a curated record. The transcript is spliced from 3 exons. NCBI's taxonomy places the organism in Eukaryota, Metazoa, Arthropoda, Insecta, Hymenoptera, Athaliidae.